GACGAACGCUGGCGGCGUGCUUAACACAUGCAAGUCGAACGGAAAGGCCCUGCUUUUGUGGGGUGCUCGAGUGGCGAACGGGUGAGUAACACGUGAGUAACCUGCCCUUGACUUUGGGAUAACUUCAGGAAACUGGGGCUAAUACCGGAUAGGAGCUCCUGCUGCAUGGUGGGGGUUGGAAAGUUUCGGCGGUUGGGGAUGGACUCGCGGCUUAUCAGCUUGUUGGUGGGGUAGUGGCUUACCAAGGCUUUGACGGGUAGCCGGCCUGAGAGGGUGACCGGCCACAUUGGGACUGAGAUACGGCCCAGACUCGUACGGGAGGCAGCAGUGGGGAAGAUUGCACAAGGGGCGGAAGCCGGAUGCAGUAACGCCGCGUGCGGGAUGACGGCCUUCGGGUUGUAAACCGCUUUCGCCUGUGACGAAGCGUGAGUGAGGGUAAUGGGUAAAGAAGCACCGGCUAACUACGUG
Molecule: ribosomal RNA, 468 nt
Filed under: uncultured bacterium
Lineage: Bacteria
Description: partial 16S ribosomal RNA
Rfam family: Bacterial small subunit ribosomal RNA
Source: RNAcentral